ACAUUAUUUUUCUUUAUGUAAUACUUUUUCAGUUGUUUUAUUUGGUAUAAAUAUAUACUUUGUGCUUAAACAUCUUUGUUCGUUUUUAACAUUCAAUAGUAUGUAAAGAUAUGAUUUCCUUCAGUAAGAUAGGUGCAUUGAAUUGUUGGAAUGCCUAUUGUAGUGCGUCUGUUCUUGUCCCCCUUGUCAUUGCUUUUGUAGUUGUAAACUCCAGUUCUGCAAAUAUGGUCUGCAAGCUCACCUGAGAGACAAAUGAGUUCCACUGGCUUCAGUAAAGGCUUAACGUUAAAGUGUACAUGUCUGUGUGCUUGCAGGAAUGAAGAGACAGUGACUCUGGCUUUGCCCAGCGAUGUAACCCUUUCAUACCCAUCAUCUGCUGUUGAAGUGUGACCCAGAGGCCUCGGAGAGGUUCAGCUGCAAUCCUGGACUGUCAAAGUCUACAGUGGAAACGAGGUAACUGGUUGUAUUUGUAUUUGACAAAAUCUCAAACCCACAGUGCUAAGAAAUGGUGUGACUUAGGUGGUGAUACCUCUCAGCAAAUGGCGGUAAACUGUGAGGUACCUUCUGGUUUGGCCAGGGGUUGAAAGUGGUUAUCAGUGGCUGUGUAGUCUAAGAAGUUGCUGGCAAAAGCAAAGCCUGUGAGGCAGCCUGGCUCUUGCCAUAGAGGUGAGAUUCAGCCUGCGGUUGAGAAAAGUGUCAGUGCUACAGAAGGUGACAGCUGCUGGGCUGAUUAAAGCCCCCCUAUCAAUGCAGCCUGUACCUGCCACCCCCUUCAUCCCUGCCUGCAGGUGAUUCAAGCAACUGCACUAGAGCACUGGGGUUUAGAUUUGUAUUUGCCAGUGUGUGAAACUGUGACUUUAUUUUUCAAAUGUUUGUAUUUCACUUAAAACAUGACUCCUUUUAAAGGUCUUUGUUCUUGUGAUCAGCCUUUCAGGAUCUGGUAAUCUUUCUGUGGAUGUAGAUUUUUCUAAUUAAAUACUAAUGUUAUAAUUUCUAUCAGAAAUAGAAAUUUCUCUUUGCAACUUAGUGGCAAGAAUGCUAGAAAAUCUGUCACCCAAACAGUAGUAUCUGCAUCCAAGUUCUUCUCAUCCAUAUGCUAGCCAUGGUUUGGAAAACAAGCUGGUUUUACAUGAAGAUCCAUGACUGCAGUAAGGCUCAGGUUCCUCACAACUGUCACCUCUGCUGGUGAAUUUUGCUAUUGCAAUAUGUGGAUUUUACUUUAU
This is a long non-coding RNA of Camarhynchus parvulus, 1223 nucleotides long. The record is from Ensembl. NCBI's taxonomy places the organism in Eukaryota, Metazoa, Chordata, Aves, Passeriformes, Thraupidae.